RNAcentral lists this ribosomal RNA (253 nucleotides) under uncultured bacterium. RNAcentral describes it as "partial 16S ribosomal RNA". It matches the Rfam family "Bacterial small subunit ribosomal RNA", at positions 524 to 776 of the family's 1533-position model. The record is from RNAcentral.
GACAGAGGCCUCAAGCGUUAGGCGGAAUCACUGGGCGUAAAGGGUGCGUAGGCGGGUCUUUAAGUCAGGGGUGAAAUCCUGGAGCUCAACUCCAGAACUGCCUUUGAUACUGAGGAUCUUGAGUUCGGGAGAGGUGAGUGGAACUGCGAGUGUAGAGGUGAAAUUCGUAGAUAUUCGCAAGAACACCAGUGGCGAAGGCGGCUCACUGGCCCGAUACUGACGCUGAGGCACGAAAGCGUGGGGAGCAAACAGG